UCUCAGAUUCUUCACUUUGACUUAAUUGAUCUUCUUCUAAGUUAGAGGAUUCUGACUUAGUUGUUAAAAAUAUAUUUGUUAAGUUCUCUUUUAUGGAGUUUAUUAAGUCUGAUUCAUCAACCUCCAUAUUAUUUAUUUUAUUUUUUAGAUGAUAUUUGAUGCUAUAAUGACCUAUUCAGCCACAUUUAUAGCAAAUUGGUAGAUUCUCCUUUUUAAUGAAUGGUUUUACUUUCUUCUGUGGUUUCAUCUUCUUUUGUUUAGGAAAAGUAUUUUGCUUUUUGAUUAAUUUUUGUGAGGGCCAAUUUAUUUUUGGAGUUUUUCUUUUUUUGGUAUUUUUUACAAGAGCUAUAUUUUCUAAAUCAUUUUUUUAUCAUACUUGAUUGAUUGUAGCCCAAAUUGUUCACAGAAACUUCCUAACUCUUUUCUACUAGUAAAUUAUUCUUUCUUUAAUUGUUGUUUUAGUCUUAGUUACAUAGCAAUAGUCCUUCUUCAUUAAUUAUGUUUAUUAAAUCACCAUAUGUUAAUCUAUCAUAAGAAAUUUUUUCAUUAUGUUGAUUUCUUAAUUUAGUUCUUAUCUUUUCUGAAAAGACUGUUGGUAAUCCUGCUAAAAAUUUUUCUUUCUAGAAUGAUUAUUACAAUCAUCUCU
Molecule: long non-coding RNA, 646 nt
Filed under: Elaeis guineensis (African oil palm)
Lineage: Eukaryota; Viridiplantae; Streptophyta; Magnoliopsida; Arecales; Arecaceae
Description: long non-coding RNA (EGUI_LNC008414)
Source: RNAcentral